GCCCUCUUAGCUCAGCUGGUAGAGCACUUCAUUCGUAAUGAAGGGGUCAUCUGUUCGAAUCAGAUAGAGGGCACCA
RNAcentral lists this transfer RNA (76 nucleotides) under Pseudomonadota bacterium. Its description in RNAcentral is "tRNA-Thr". It matches the Rfam family "tRNA". Rfam says of the family: Transfer RNA (tRNA) molecules are approximately 80 nucleotides in length. The record is from RNAcentral. Lineage: Bacteria; Pseudomonadati; Pseudomonadota. RNAcentral also lists the same sequence under 2 other names.